RNAcentral lists this unclassified non-coding RNA (305 nucleotides) under plant metagenome. Its description in RNAcentral is "partial contains 5.8S ribosomal RNA, internal transcribed spacer 2, and large subunit ribosomal RNA". The stretch from base 1 to 105 matches the Rfam family "5.8S ribosomal RNA", at positions 50 to 154 of the family's 154-position model. The record is from RNAcentral.
GAAAUGCGAUAAGUAAUGUGAAUUGCAGAAUUCAGUGAAUCAUCGAAUCUUUGAACGCACAUUGCGCCCGCCAGUACUCUGGCGGGCAUGCCUGUUCGAGCGUCAUUUCAACCAUCAAGCCCCCGGCUUGUGUUGGGGACCUGCGGCUGCCCGCAGGCCCUGAAAAACAGUGGCGGGCUCGCUGUCACACCGAGCGUAGUAGCAUACAUUCUCUCUCAGGGCGUGCUGCGGGUUCCGGCCGUUAAACGACCUUCAUAACCCAAGGUUGACCUCGGAUCAGGUAGGAAGACCCGCUGAACUUAAGC